Long non-coding RNA from Ictalurus furcatus (blue catfish), 2392 nucleotides. RefSeq lists it as uncharacterized. The transcript has 3 exons. The record is from RefSeq and is a predicted model, not a curated record. Lineage: Eukaryota; Metazoa; Chordata; Actinopteri; Siluriformes; Ictaluridae.
GUUGCUUCGUAAACCAGAAAAAUCUCUCUUUCUUUCUAUCUUUCUUCUUAUUUCCUGCACUGUAUAAAAACUCAUUUUGUUUGAGUAAAAAUGAGAAAUAACAUAAUAUUUGUUUUAUCCAAACCUUAUACUGAGAAAAAUUACUUUUAAUUGUUACAUAAAGAAAACUGAACUUUUUUAUUAUAGAACUUUGCACUUAUUAGACAUUUUAUAUUUAUAUUUAUCUUUAUUUUUGUAAAAACUUCAGUCCUCUACGCUAAUCAGCGCUGUCGCUCGGCCUGUUGCGGAUAAAUUAGCGCGUAGAAUGUCAGGAGGUCGGCUCCUGCAACGGAUCUGUACACGGUUAGCAUACAGAACUCAUUUUCCUCCACAAACUCCUGUAACUCGACUCUUGUUCAGGUUCCGCUAACGGCUAAUCGCUUCUAAAUCUUCAAUUACUGAGAGACUCAAACCAGACGCAGACCCUCGUUCACUCUCUCUCGCGCUCUCUCUCUCUCUUUCUCUCUCUCUCUCUCACACACACACACACACACACACAGAGCACAAAAGCCACUUGUUAACGUCGUUGUCGUCCUCUCAACAACUAAACGUUAGCAAUUAGGUGCUAUUAUUACUUUGUACAAAUGGCAGGAAAUUUUUCGUCCAACUCUCAGAAACUUCCUCAAAAGAAAAAAAAAAAACAGGAUUCCAGCUAACAAAGUGCUAACGCUACUGUAUAACCACCACAGUGCUUCCAUUUCCAGCCUAAAUGAAUGCUAAUGCUCCAACUAGCUUAACAUUAAAAAAAAAAAACAGCACCGGAAAGAGCUAACACUCAUUACUAUAUUUUAGUAUCAGCACAUUAACAAAACAUUCUCCCUUUCAUACACACACACACACACACACACACACACACACACACACACACAUACAAGAAGUAAUCAAACUAGCAUAACAGCCACCAGACCAACCAAAACACUCCAGACUGCCGAAAUAAAAUGCUAAGUGGAAUAGGACUAACACAAAAUUAGCCUUAAAUUUAAAAAAAAAAAAAGAAAAAAAAAAGAAAAAAAAGGUGUUAAUCUGAAGAGAGUUCACUCUGAAAUAUUAGCAUAGUGCUAAUGCAAAAGUAAAAUGCUAACCUGAAGAGCGCUAAUGUUGAAGUAAGUGUAGCGUUCACUCUGAAAUAUGCGUAACGCUAAUAACCUGACUAGCAUCCUAAUCUGAAUACCGCUAGUGCUAAAAUAAACUGAAUUAAACGCGUUCAAACUUCAGUGCAUGUUUGUGCAAAAAAAAGUGUGCGUGUGUGUGUGUGCAUGGGUGUGUGUGUGUGUGUGUGUGUGUGUGUGCAUGGGUGUGUGUGUGUGUGUGUGUGUGUGUGUGUCACAGCUGAAGCAUCCUGACCCCACUUCGACCCUGACAUUAAGGCAAAAAGUGACACGAUGGGACAGAAGAGGCCGUGACGACGGACAGAUCGGUCCUGCGAGUGUACUACACAGAGACGCAGCGGCAAGAACAGAGAGACAAACAGAAAGAGAGAAAGAGAGAGAGAGAGAGAGAGAGAGAGAGAUAGAGAGAGAGAGAGAGAGAGAGAGAGAGAGAGAGACGAAAAAGUGAGAGACUCAUCCUAGACUUGCCGUGACAUUACUGCACUGACAACUUUGUGGGUCCCUCCCACUCUUCUGUGUGUGUGUGUGUGUGUGUGUGUGUGUGUGUGUGUGUGUGUGUGUGUGUAUGUGAGACAGGUCGGAAAGGAGACGAAAGGAAAGUCCAUUGCGGUGCUCCCUUUAUCAGGCCUUACAAAGUUCACAGAUAGGGAAGACAAGUCCAAGGUGCAGAGUACCCCUUCAUUGAACCAUGUGAAGUCGUUUGUGGGUGUGGCUUGUGAAUCAUCAUCAGUAGACUUGUGUAAAACAUUGUGAGGGUCCGGAACCACGGAAACACACGGCCAAUCAGAGAGCAGUUCAGCCCUUUGCAGAAGUAACAGAAGCUGAAGCUAAUCUUAAUGUAGGACCUGUCAAAUACGCCAGCUAGCAAACAUGGCUAGUUAACGCUAGCUAACUAAACCAGGUAAUAAAUAUUAGCAAAAGAUUCUGUUUUUAUUAAUCAGCUGUUGUUUAGUAAUAAUCAGGUCUUCAUUAUUGAGUAAGUAUUUUAGCAGUCAGUGUUUUAAUCAAUCAGCUUUUUAAAUUAAUCUCUAAAGUCCUUUCAGUAGUCCCUUCGUUUUUAUUAAUAAAUCUUUUUUUAGUAAUUACGUCUUUUUUAGUAAUCAAUUUUUUUUAAAUAAAAAAUUAUCUGUUUGUGUCAUUGAUUCUUGUUUAGUAAUAAAUUCUCUUUUGAAGAAAUAGUUUUCAGAGACUCUUUAAUGUUCGGUUCUUAUUUUAGUAAUAAAUUCAGCUUUUAAGGAACUGAA